This 2387-nucleotide long non-coding RNA is filed under the name Homo sapiens (human). Its description in RNAcentral is "HSALNT0025234". Lineage: Eukaryota; Metazoa; Chordata; Mammalia; Primates; Hominidae. The record is from RNAcentral.
AGGUAUUUCAUCCAUAAUCCUUUAUAUCCUUUUCCCAACGUAGACAAGGGCAUUCCAUGCUCACUGCCUCCGGGAGAGGAGAACUCGGCAGAAUACAGUUGGCAGGUUUUAAAGCAAGACAUACAGAUGGAAGAGAGAUGGAAGAGGAACGGCACAGAGAGAGAAGGCAGGUGCAGAAUCACAAAGCAUCUGAACCCAUGAGGAGGUAGACGCAAAGGAGUAGGAGACACACAGCAGGAUCAAAUCAGUCGGGAGCAAAAUAGGAAGAAUCUGGAAAAGAAGAAAUAAAAGCAGAAUUUUAGACAGGACCUAGUACACUCAAGGUUCCUGCCAAUUGCUAACGAAGCUGAAGUCUCCCUAUCAGUAAAAGAAAUAAAUAUUGGAUACCAAGAGCCUCAGAGACUUAUACUGAGUUGAAGAUGGAAGCAAUGAAAAAAGAGACUCACUGUAUUAGCAAGUGGAUACUUGGUGCUGCUGGACUGCAAAAUUUGUCUAAAGAUUAAGAAAAUAUUAGGGAAAAUCUCCUAUAGAUAGGGCAGGUAUAAAGUAAACACAGUGUACUAGUCCAUUCUCAUACCACUAAUACUGCUAUGAAGAAAUACCCGAGACUGGGUAAUUUAUAAAGAAAAAGAGGCUUCAUGGAUUCACAGUUCCACAUGGCUGGGGAGGCCUCACAAUCAUGGUGGAAGGCGAAGGAGGAGCAGAGGCACAUCUUACAUGGCGGCAGGAAAGAGACCGUCUGCAGGGGAGCUGCCCUUUAUAAAAUCAUCUGAUUCACUACCACAAGAACAGCAUGGGAAAAACCUGCCCCUAUGAUUCAAUUACCUCUUACCGGGUCCCUCCCACAACAUGUGGGGAUAAUGGCAGCGACAAUUCAAGAUGAGAUCUGGGUGGGGACACAGUGAAACCAUAUCACACAGAAUAGUCUGGAAUACUAAAAAUAAGGUCGCACUGUAAAGGCAUUGAAGCAUAGGAACAGGACAGAUGGGUGUGGCUUGGGAAAGGGGAAAGAUUGGCACUUUUAUUCCAGGAUUGGGCCCCAUCUCAUUUUAGCUCACCAAAUUCUUGAGUAUCAACCUGUUCUGAAAUUGAUUAGAAUGGAGUGUUAAAAAAAGUAAGUUGAUAUUUUUUAUUUGAUAUUCUUAUACUCUUGUGGCUUAAGUGGUGCUGGCAUUUUUAUUUCAAUUUUAUAGAUAAGGAAAAUGAAAUAAAAAGAGGGUGACACAUAGAAAAUGCAUGAUAGAGCCAGCAACUGUCUCUACGGACUUGUGGUGUACUUUUAUUCCAUUAGAUUACAAAAAAACUGGAUUUGUUUGUGAAUAAGAUUAGAGUCAUUUUCAAAUUAAAUUUAUCAGCUACAUGGAAAAAUUAUCUUCUUUACCUUAGAGGCACUCCUUGUGGGUGUAUUUUGUCCCCACCAAAUUAGCUUUAUUUAGGGGAACCUAAAUUUAUUCUACUAAAACUACUCGAAAUGACAUUCGUUUGUUUCCAAAAAUUAAAUCCAUACUCCAAAGGUGUGUAAUUUGACUAAAUUAAAAAAAAAAAUCUGCAUGCCAGAAAGUAAAAGUAGAGUGAAAAGAUAGAUGACAGACACAUCAUGACUAAGGCUGAGACCUUUCAUAUAGAAAAAGAUCAAUAAUUCAGUGGGAAGAAAUGGGGAAAAAUCAUAAACUGUCAGGUCAAACAAAAGGAAAUACAAACAGUUUUAAGAGAUAUGAAAGAUGUUCUAAUUUAGAAAAUGAAAAUUAGGCUGGACAUGGUGGCUCACGUCUGUAAUCCCAGCACUUUGGGAGGCCAAGGUGGGUGGAUCACCUGAGGUCAGGGGUUCGAGACCAGCCUGACCAAUAUGGUGAACCCCCAUCUCUACUAAAAAUACAAAAAUUAGCCAGGUGGACACAAGCCUGUGAUCCCAGCUUCUCAGGAGGCUGAGACAGGAGAAUGGCAUGAACCCAGGAGGCAGAGGUUGCAGUGAGCUGAGAUCGUGCCACUGCACUCCAGCCUGGGCAACAGAGCGAGACUCUGUCUCAAAAAAAAAAAAAAGAGAAAGAAAAGAAAAGAAAAAGAAAAUUAACACUGAGUUUCUAUUUUUCACAUAUUAGAUUGGGAAAAAAUCCCAAUGCUUGAUAAUUAAAGCUUGUUUCAGAAGGACUGAAGAAACUGGUACUCUCACACAAGAUGAGAGACUCUAUCAUCAAGAUAGCAACAUCUACCAAAAAUUGUCAAGCCCUUUGACAUAUUUCCAAUAAUUUACCGAGAAAAAGUUCUCACUUUUGUGAGAUGAUAUGCAUGCUAAGAUAUUCUCUGCAGCAUGAGCUAUUAUAGCAAAAGCCUGGAAACAACUUAAACGUCCAUUAGUAAGGAGAUUAAUUCAAUAUAUUAUGAUUCAU